RNAcentral lists this unclassified non-coding RNA (24 nucleotides) under Mus musculus (house mouse). RNAcentral's name for it is "oocyte_clustered_small_RNA5846". The record is from RNAcentral. Lineage: Eukaryota; Metazoa; Chordata; Mammalia; Rodentia; Muridae.
UGGGGAUUGCAUUGAAUCUGCCAA